Molecule: ribosomal RNA, 341 nt
Filed under: Roseovarius sp. 217
Lineage: Bacteria; Pseudomonadati; Pseudomonadota; Alphaproteobacteria; Rhodobacterales; Roseobacteraceae
Description: bacterial SSU rRNA
Rfam family: Bacterial small subunit ribosomal RNA
Source: RNAcentral
UCAACUUGAGAGUUUGAUCCUGGCUCAGAACGAACGCUGGCGGCAGGCCUAACACAUGCAAGUCGAGCGAGAUCUUCGGAUCUAGCGGCGGACGGGUGAGUAACGCGUGGGAACGUACCCUCUUCUGCGGGAUAGCCACUGGAAACGGUGAGUAAUACCGCAUACGCCCUUCGGGGGAAAGAUUUAUCGGAGGAGGAUCGGCCCGCGUUGGAUUAGGUAGUUGGUGGGGUAAUGGCCUACCAAGCCUACGAUCCAUAGCUGGUUUUAGAGGAUGAUCAGCCACACUGGGACUGAGACACGGCCCAGACUCCUACGGGAGGCAGCAGUGGGGAAUCUUAGAC